RNAcentral lists this long non-coding RNA (415 nucleotides) under Rosa chinensis. RNAcentral's name for it is "sRNA RchiOBHm_Chr1g0344021". Lineage: Eukaryota; Viridiplantae; Streptophyta; Magnoliopsida; Rosales; Rosaceae. The record is from RNAcentral.
AUGAACAAUGCAAUGACGUAAUGCACUUUUACCCAAUACAACUGUUCCUCCCUUUUCCUUUCUGAUUGUGAAUCUUCAUCUCUCUUAUUUCGUGACUCCUGAUGUACAUUUCCAAAAAGAUUUGGGCUUAUAUAGCUUGGAUAAUGUGGAGAUUGUAAUGGCUCUAGAACAAGAGUUCAAGCUUGAGAUUCCUAACAAGGAAGCUGAUAAGAUUGAUUCUGCAAAUCUGGCCAUUGAGUACAUCUAUAACCAUCCAAUGGCUUCGUAACUACCUUUAGCAGCAGGCUUGCCUCAUUACAUGAGCUGUUGAAAUGUAUUUUUGUUAUCGAUCAUGUGACAUUUGUAGGAAUUUGCUCAUCAUGUGGGCUGGAAAGAAAGAGAGUAUUCUUCCUGGAACUGUUGUUUAAACAUCUUU